AUGAACCGGAAGUUUCCAACCGCACGAAAAUGGUUGUAUAGAGAGUUUCUAGAACAUUAUAGAUGGAUACCUGGAAAUAAGAAGUGGCAGAAUAGAAGAAAUAAGAGAUCACAUAUUGGAAGACUUGUGCAUGCACACCCUGCUGAAGGAGAGAGGUACUACUUGCGUGUGCUCCUAAGUCAUGUCCGAGGUGCCACUUCAUUCGAUGAUUUAAAAACAGUAAAUGGCAAGCCAUGCAGUUCCUUCAGGGAGGCAUGUGAGCACUUAGGCCUCAUUGAGCACGAUAGGACUCUUGAUGAUUGCAUGACGGAGGCAGCCACAUUUCAGAUGCCUUCUGCCCUAAGACGGUUAUUUGCAACUAUACUGGUGUUUUGCGAGGCAAUAGAAAUCCGGCAGCUGUGGGACAAACACCUGGCAUCAAUAACUGAGGAUUACCGGCGUAAUCAAUCCAAUGAGGCAACACUUGAGCAGAUGGUCCUCAGAGAUAUCAGGGAUAUGUUGCAAUCCAUGGGAAAAGAUAUUACAAGCUAUGGACUUCCAGAUUUGGUUGAGAACGAUGGUUCUUCUGACGGUGAGUACAAAGAGGUAACAGAGGAGAGGCAAAUUAGCAUGGACAAAGAACACCUAGAUUUAUUUAGCAGUUUGAACAAUGAACAGCUGGCUGGUUUCAAUGAAAUAAUGGAUCAUGUGAUGGAACACAAAAGCCAGAUAUUCUUU
This 717-nucleotide ribosomal RNA is filed under the name Triticum aestivum (bread wheat). RNAcentral describes it as "partial small subunit ribosomal RNA". Lineage: Eukaryota; Viridiplantae; Streptophyta; Magnoliopsida; Poales; Poaceae. The record is from RNAcentral.